Molecule: ribosomal RNA, 482 nt
Filed under: uncultured bacterium
Lineage: Bacteria
Description: partial 16S ribosomal RNA
Rfam family: Bacterial small subunit ribosomal RNA
Source: RNAcentral
AUUGAACGCUGGCGGCAUGCCUUACACAUGCAAGUCGAACGGUAACAGGUCUUCGGAUGCUGACGAGUGGCGAACGGGUGAGUAAUACAUCGGAACGUGCCCAGACGUGGGGGAUAACGAGGCGAAAGCUUUGCUAAUACCGCAUACGAUCUAAGGAUGAAAGCAGGGGACCGCAAGGCCUUGUGCGUUUGGAGCGGCCGAUGGCAGAUUAGGUAGUUGGUGGGAUAAAAGCUUACCAAGCCGACGAUCUGUAGCUGGUCUGAGAGGACGACCAGCCACACUGGGACUGAGACACGGCCCAGACUCCUACGGGAGGCAGCAGUGGGGAAUUUUGGACAAUGGACGAAAGCCUGAUCCAGCAAUGCCGCGUGCAGGAUGAAGGCCUUCGGGUUGUAAACUGCUUUUGUACGGAACGAAAAGGCUCUGGCUAAUACCUGGGGCACAUGACGGUACCGUAAGAAUAAGCACCGGCUAACUACGUG